GAUGAAGAACGUAGCGAAAUGCGAUAAGUAAUGUGAAUUGCAGAAUUCAGUGAAUCAUCGAAUCUUUGAACGUACAUUGCGCCCCCUGGUAUUCCGGGGGGCAUGCCUGUUCGAGCGUCAUUACAACCCUCAAGCUCUGCUUGGUAUUGGGCCCCGCCAGUUCUGGCGGGCCCUAAAGUCAGUGGCGGUGCCUUCCGGCUCCGAGCGUAGUAAUUCUUCUCGCUCUGGAGACCCGGUUGUGUGCUUGCCAACAACCCCCAAUUUUUUAAGGUUGACCUCGGAUCAGGUAGGGAUACCCGCUGAACUUAAGCAUAUCAAUAAGCGGAGGA
This 329-nucleotide unclassified non-coding RNA is filed under the name soil metagenome. RNAcentral's name for it is "partial contains 5.8S ribosomal RNA, internal transcribed spacer 2, and large subunit ribosomal RNA". The stretch from base 1 to 120 matches the Rfam family "5.8S ribosomal RNA", at positions 35 to 154 of the family's 154-position model. The record is from RNAcentral.